CGAACGCUAAGUGGGUCAUUGCAAUUUCUGACUUUUAACCAAACCUGGUUAUGUCUAUAACUAGGCUUCUGUUCUCUUUUUUUAUUCAGGCCCAACGUAUCAUUGCUUAGUGCUUAGAUCCAUUAGAUUAACAUCGUCGCCGACCCUUCCCUUCCCUGAAGCCUCCUCCGAUGAACUUCCGGUAACGCCUUCUUUCUCCAUUGAUUUAUACCUUAAUCGACCUCACCAUCUUCAUACGCAACCCACGGGAGGGCUCCUCCUAUAAAUUUCAAUGCUCCGAGCGUUAUACAGCUCCAUCUCUGUGAAAUCUAGAAGUUCUCGGAGAAAUGCCAAGAGAGGAAGCGAGCUGAUGGGGGUUGACAUGCUAUUCCUUGAGGAAAGAUAAUCACUUCCGGAUCCUAUUCAAACUAUCGAUUCUUAUGCAAGGGUCCGUCAGUGCGAACCAUCUCAACAAUUUCAGUGAUCGUUUCAGUGAAGGUUCAGUCUACAGGAUGAGCGGUUUCGACGUAAAGCGGAGCAACAACAUUUGGCACUUAUUUUGAAAAGUUGUCAAGAGUCCACUAAGCUGAUACUAACUGAAGCUUUCCUUUUCCGUUCAUACGGCUAACUGCUUACUUUGGCGAACAGAAACAGACAGCUACCUGGAGCACAAUCAAGGACCGUUCAUCUGAGGCACAACGUGUAAUGCUUACUAUACGUCUAGAGAGGGAUGUAACCGUCUGUGUCAGUAUGUUUAAACUCCUUGGCUUGCCUUCAUAACAAAUUUGAAAGCUACGGAAGUGAACCAAAUAUUGUCCUUGGAGGUGGGCUAUUUCUGAACUUAACAUCUGGAAUCCAUAUUUAUUGUGACUCUGAGACUGUAGGAAAAGAGAAGCUUGACAAUUGUCAGAGAAACAAAGUCGUCAAAUUAAGCUCCUCCAACGAAAAAAUUAUUUGGUUCAGAUUUAAAAGACAAUGUUUUGUCAUUCUCACUGAACAGGGUUGGUGGUACUGGAAUGGACAUGAGAAGCACAGCCAAGGUAAUCUUUUUAUUUUAUUUAGACGUUGACGAAAAGGUUAGCAAAUUUCCUGUAAAAUAGAAUCAGAAUGACAAAGCUUACUGAUCUCUGUUUGGUUUACUUUUACACUCUCCCUGGACCUGCAACCAACCAUCAAAACUCCCAAAAAAGGAACUAUGAUGGUUCCAACACUUGGUGAAGCUCCUGGGGAAGAUAAUGAAGUGAUCUUAUAGUAAGGCCUCUCCUGCAAACCAACAUGCUUACUUCCAGCCUGAGAACUAUCUGAGCAGCACUGGCACUCCAGUUGUAAAUGUCACAAAAGCUACUAUAUCAGCGAUGAAUGCUUUGAGCAAGUUCCCCCGCACCAACAGGAUGCUUUCGCGCAACGCCAAGCUUCUAAAACGUAACAUAAGGCAAACAUGCUGAGGAACACACAUCAAUGAGACAUCAUAACUCAGCUGCGCAAGGCGGUGUAUCAAAUGACUGCACCCGGUAUGUGCUUCUGGUCCUCACCUAAUCACAUGGUUCCCGCAUUGUUAUAGCAGAUCGAUCUGGCCACUAGACACGGUACGGCACGCGGUAACGAGCAACGCGGCUUCCAAUUCGUGCCUUCAAUGCAUCUGCUUCCAAAAUCUCAAGUUAGAUUAACUUCCCCAGAAUUUAGUAAAAUAUAGAAAUCCUGCUAUCUUUAAGACAACACUGACACCCAUCUUUUGUUUGACUUCCCAGCUCUACGUUAGUAACAAAAUUUUAAUUACAUUCCUUUGCA
This is a long non-coding RNA of Brassica rapa (field mustard), 1767 nucleotides long. RefSeq lists it as uncharacterized. The record is from RefSeq and is a predicted model, not a curated record. NCBI's taxonomy places the organism in Eukaryota, Viridiplantae, Streptophyta, Magnoliopsida, Brassicales, Brassicaceae.